RNAcentral lists this unclassified non-coding RNA (501 nucleotides) under uncultured Glomus. Its description in RNAcentral is "SSU rRNA". It matches the Rfam family "Eukaryotic small subunit ribosomal RNA", at positions 591 to 1092 of the family's 1831-position model. The record is from RNAcentral. Lineage: Eukaryota; Fungi; Glomeromycota; Glomeromycetes; Glomerales; Glomeraceae.
CCAAUAGCGUAUAUUAAAGUUGUUGCAGUUAAAAAGCUCGUAGUUGAAUUUCGGGAUCAAUACGUCGGUCGUGCUUUCGGGUACGUACUGGCGUCAUUGGUUUCUCCUUUCUGACGAACCAUGAUGUCAUUAAUUUGGUGUUAUGGGGAGUUAGGACUGUUACUUUGAAAAAAUUAGAGUGUUUAAAGCAGGCAUUAGCUUGAAUACAUUAGCAUGGAAUAAUGAAAUAGGACGUUCGAUCCUAUUUUGUUGGUUUCUAGGAUCAACGUAAUGAUUAAUAGGGAUAGUUUGGGGCAUUAGUAUUCAAUUGUCAGAGGUGAAAUUCUUGGAUUUAUUGAAGACUAACUACUGCGAAAGCAUUUGCCAAGGAUGUUUUCAUUAAUCAAGAACGAAAGUUAGGGGAUCGAAGACGAUCAGAUACCGUCGUAGUCUUAACCAUAAACUAUGCCGACUAGGGAUCGGAUGAUGUUAAUUUUUUAAUGACUCAUUCGGCGCCUUACA